AUUGAACGCUGGCGGCAGGCCUAACACAUGCAAGUCGAGCGGAUGAAGGGAGCUUGCUCCUGGAUUCAGCGGCGGACGGGUGAGUAAUGCCUAGGAAUCUGCCUGGGAGUGGGGGAUAACGUCCGGAAACGGGCGCUAAUACCGCAUACGUCCUGAGGGAGAAAGUGGGGGAUCUUCGGACCUCACGCUAUCAGAUGAGCCUAGGUCGUAUUAGCUAGUUGGUCGGGUAAAGGCCUACCAAGGCGACGAUCCGUAACUGGACUGAGAGGAUGAUCAGUCACAUUGGAACUGAGACACGGUCCAGACUCCUACGGGAGGCAGCAGUGGGGAAUAUUGGACAAUGGGCGAAAGCCUGAUCCAGCCAUGCCGCGUGUGUGAAGAAGGUCUUCGGAUUGUAAAGCACUUUAAGUGGGGAGGAAGGGCAGUAAGUUAAUACCUUGCUGUUUUGACGUUACCAACAGAAUAAGCACCGGCUAACUUCGUG
Molecule: ribosomal RNA, 484 nt
Filed under: uncultured bacterium
Lineage: Bacteria
Description: partial 16S ribosomal RNA
Rfam family: Bacterial small subunit ribosomal RNA
Source: RNAcentral